GUUCUUUUCCCUUCACAUUGAUUAUGUGUGGAAGCAAGUCACGGCCCUAUGCUAGCGCUCAAAUGACGCUGCUUUGCCCUAGAAAUGUUUCCAACAGAUAAAAGUAUUUAUGAACAUUGAGAAAACCAGGGCAUGUGCUCUGAUCACGUGGAAUAUUCAUUUCACCAGAAGGUACAUGUCAGUCACUACAAGAAGAUCACAUUUGAAAUGACAACAGUGUUUCAGUAAUGAAACCAUAGCCUUUCAGAGACUUCAUGAAGAUACCACAGAACUGCCACAUCCACACCUUGGAAACAGGCCAGGUGGGCACCCUAAUCACUGCUGACAGUGGGACAAGGAGGGUGAGACUGAUGAGUCCAAGUCAGUCAGCUCAGCUGUUAGAUGAAGAUAUCCUUGAGUACAAAACCUUGCUGUGUUUCACAGGUGACUCUUGUACCAUAUCUGCUGGCUUAUAAGCAGUAGUCGGUUAAGUGAAGGCUUUUUGUUUUGUGUAAAUGCCUGAGCAGUGAAAUGAUCUCUGUAUCGCUCUGAAGUCUGUGAGGCAUGAGUAAGUACCAUUUCUCCUUGUUUGACGGGAGUGGUUUUACCCUUGUAUGCGCUCUCUGUGCCUCACACUGUGAAUGGGUAUAACCAGGCAUCCCAACAGUGGCUCACCUGAUGGCUGUUCCAGGAAGGGUAGAGAUUUUUUUUUUUCAAAGCACCUUCCAAACUUUGCAGGUUCUCAAAUAGGAAAAGAAGGCAAAGAGACAAAGUGAUUUGGGGAUUAUUUCCUGUUCUGUGGUAAUAGCUUUUACUUAGUGUGGCAUGCCCCCUAAAAAUCCAUCAUGAUGUCAGGAAACUGAAUCUGCUCUGCAGUCAUGGGAAAUAAAACCAGCUAGCCUCCUCACUCCUGGCCUUCUUCAGGUCUGUGCGUGUCUGAUGUGCAGGGUCUUAAUCACAAGGAUGCUGGUUUACAAGGGUCCCUCAGAGCCUUUCUUCAAACCCCUUCCAUUUUUAGUAUGCCUCCCCCAGAUAGAUAUUUGGCAUGCCUUAAUCAGCAGUUAGAACCCCUUCUCGAUAAAUUGAGGGCUGUGAUUUCAAGAGUCUUUUUGAACUCUAAGCUGAAGCCUUUACAAUAAAUUGGGAGUGUGGCAGGGAAGAUGACUGUUUUGUUUUUUUUUUUUAAUUCAAAUCCUAUUUAUAUACUAUUAAAUUUGAGGUACUAUAGUUUAUAUAAAAGUUGAAUAUUUAGAUGAUAUAUUUCAGUAUUAGGAAUUUGUCUGAAGCCAUUAUUAACAAAUUAAAUAAUAAGUAUGAAAAUGAUUGUCAGUAAAUUAUCAUAUUGAAU
This 1327-nucleotide long non-coding RNA is filed under the name Bos taurus (domestic cattle). RNAcentral describes it as "long non-coding RNA NONBTAT006694". Lineage: Eukaryota; Metazoa; Chordata; Mammalia; Artiodactyla; Bovidae. The record is from RNAcentral.